UCACCAAGAAGUUUAUUAACUUGCUAAAAGGUGCAUAAAAUGUUCAACAAAAAUAGUCUUUCAUGGCUAUAAAGCAUUACACACAUUAGAGAUGCAUGUCUGGUUCCUCCAUUAACAUCAACAUCAUCAUCUUCCCUUUGUUCUUCAUCAUCUACAGCGUCGGUACAAAUUACUUAGUACACAUAGCCCUUGACAAACAAUUCCUUCUUUGCCUCCUCUGACUCUCCCUCUCCGGUGUACUUGCCCAGCUGUGCAAGUGAGUUGGCCUUGGCACGGAUGAGCAGAGCAUCCUGAGCUGCCUUCACGUUCUCCGGUCUGCCUCCCCAUGUCUUCAGGCAGGUAUUUUGGAGAGCUCUGGCGUAGGAGAAGGACACGUGCCAUGGGUUUGGUGAUUGGUUCAUCGCAUUCAAGUUCAGGGUUGCCUCAACUUCAGAUUGUCCACCAGACAAAAACUGCUCAACAAAACACAAUUCCAACAUCAGUACAUAAUAUAUUCUCAUCACAGAAACACUUAAUUAGCGUCAAGUUUUUCAAACACUUGCCAUGAUUCCGGGGACAGCUGGGGGGAUUCUCCUGUGGAGGAGCUUGAGGGUGUAGUCAGCAACCUGUUGAGGGGUGGCUCUUUCCUUGGCCUCAGCACCAGGAGUAACCAUGCUUGGCUUGAGGAGGAUACCCUCGAACAAGACGUUGUUCUCAG
RNAcentral lists this long non-coding RNA (697 nucleotides) under Malus domestica (apple). Its description in RNAcentral is "long non-coding RNA (MDOM_LNC009124)". Lineage: Eukaryota; Viridiplantae; Streptophyta; Magnoliopsida; Rosales; Rosaceae. The record is from RNAcentral.